GUGGAUAGGUCUGGCUGUGACAUCUGUCACCCUAUUGAUUGUUGAGAUCCAUCCUGAUCUGGCUGACAAGGUGGGUGCUUCUGCUCUUCCCUCUAUUAUGGGCAUCCUUGCAGAAACCCGGUGCUCACACAAUAUUUUUUCCAGAGAGCUGUUCUUCUGUCAAGGUGUGCGAGCAGUUUCUCUCUGUUAAUGAUAAUCUCCAAACAGACCAUCCAGGUCUACUUUAUAUACAUUCCACUAUAAGACAUACAUUUGUG
Molecule: small nuclear RNA, 257 nt
Filed under: Panthera tigris altaica (Amur tiger)
Lineage: Eukaryota; Metazoa; Chordata; Mammalia; Carnivora; Felidae
Description: 7SK RNA (ENSPTIG00000004362.1)
Rfam family: 7SK RNA
About the family: 7SK was discovered as an abundant small nuclear RNA in the mid-70s but a possible function has only recently been suggested. Two independent studies have found that 7SK RNA binds the CDK9/cyclin T complex (known as elongation factor P-TEFb). P-TEFb activates transcription by phosphorylating the C-terminal domain of RNA polymerase II.
Source: RNAcentral